AUUAAUCCAGGAUGGCAUCAUGAGUUCACAUGUCCGCAUGAUUAAAGGUAUUUUCCGGUAGACGAUGGGGAUGCGUUCCAUUAGAUAGUAGGCGGGGUAACGGCCCACCUAGUCAACGAUGGAUAGGGGUUCUAAGAGGAAGGUCCCCCACAUUGGAACUGAGACACGGUCCAAACUCCUACGGGAGGCAGCAGUGAGGAAUAUUGGUCAAUGGGCGAUGGCCUGAACCAGCCAAGUAGCGUGAAGGAUGACUGCCCUAUGGGUUGUAAACUUCUUUUAUAAAGGAAUAAAGUCGGGUAUGCAUACCCGUUUGCAUGUACUUUAUGAAUAAGGAUCGGCUAACUCCGUGCCAGCAGCCGCGGUAAUACGGAGGAUCCGAGCGUUAUCCGGAUUUAUUGGGUUUAAAGGGAGCGUAGAUGGAUGUUUAAGUCAGUUGUGAAAGUUUGCGGCUCAACCGUAAAAUUGCAGUUGAUACUGGAUGUCUUGAGUGCAGUUGAGGCAGGCGGAAUUCGUGGUGUAGCGGUGAAAUGCUUAGAUAUCACGAAGAACUCCGAUUGCGAAGGCAGCCUGCUAAGCUGCAACUGACAUUGAGGCUCGAAAGUGUGGGUAUCAAACAGGAUUAGAUACCCUGGUAGUCCACGCAGUAAACGAUGAUUACUAGGAGUUUGCGAUACACAGUAAGCUCUACAGCGAAAGCGUUAAGUAAUCCACCUGGGGAGUACGCCGGCAACGGUGAAACUCAAAGGAAUUGACGGGGGCCCGCACAAGCGGAGGAACAUGUGGUUUAAUUCGAUGAUACGCGAGGAACCUUACCCGGGUUUGAACGCAUUUGGACAGUCCUUGAAAGAGGAUCUCUAGCAAUAGCCAUUUGCGAGGUGCUGCAUGGUUGUCGUCAGCUCGUGCCGUGAGGUGUCGGCUUAAGUGCCAUAACGAGCGCAACCCUUAUCUUUAGUUACUAACAGGUCGAGCUGAGGACUCUAAAGAGACUGCCAGCGUAAGCUGUGAGGAAGGUGGGGAUGACGUCAAAUCAGCACGGCCCUUACAUCCGGGGCGACACACGUGUUACAAUGGUGGGGACAAAGGGCAGCUACACAGCGAUGUGAUGCUAAUCUCCAAACCCCAUCUCAGUUCGGAUCGAAGUCUGCAACCCGACUUCGUGAAGCUGGAUUCGCUAGUAAUCGCGCAUCAGCCAUGGCGCGGUGAAUACGUUCCCGGGCCUUGCACACACCGCCCGUCAAG
This 1239-nucleotide ribosomal RNA is filed under the name uncultured bacterium. RNAcentral's name for it is "bacterial SSU rRNA". It matches the Rfam family "Bacterial small subunit ribosomal RNA", at positions 162 to 1401 of the family's 1533-position model. The record is from RNAcentral.